Molecule: ribosomal RNA, 273 nt
Filed under: Boophis picturatus
Lineage: Eukaryota; Metazoa; Chordata; Amphibia; Anura; Mantellidae
Description: partial 16S ribosomal RNA
Rfam family: Bacterial large subunit ribosomal RNA
Source: RNAcentral
CCUAUAAGACGAGAAGACCCCAUGGAGCUUUAAAUCCAACAGCACCUAUUACCCAUAUAUCUUUAUAUUUUUUUAGCAAAUGCUCGUUCGGUUUUAGGUUGGGGUGACCAUGGAGUAAAAAAUAACCUCCACGAAAAAAGGCAUAAAACCCUUAUCAAAGAGCCACAUCUCUAUGAAUUAGUAAACUAAUUUCUGAUGAUCCGAUAUUCGAUCAACGAACCAAGUUACCCUGGGGAUAACAGCGCAAUCCGCCUUAAGAGCCCCUAUCGACAG